UAUUUGUUUUACAAGGGGCCAAAGUUGUUGUUUAACCGCUCGUGCUAAUAUUGAUACCCGAGCAAGCGAAGGAUUCCAAAAUUGAACCACGAGCAUAGCGACUGGUUUGAGAAGUGGAAUCUUGAGCGUUGCUAGGGUUAAACAAACUUUGCUGCCGAGUGAAACACAACAUUUUUCAAUGCACCAAUGCGAGGAAAAUACUAACUAAAAUAU
Molecule: long non-coding RNA, 213 nt
Organism: Cydia fagiglandana
Lineage: Eukaryota; Metazoa; Arthropoda; Insecta; Lepidoptera; Tortricidae
Exons: 2
Source: RefSeq, a predicted model, not a curated record